Molecule: long non-coding RNA, 835 nt
Organism: Xyrauchen texanus (razorback sucker)
Lineage: Eukaryota; Metazoa; Chordata; Actinopteri; Cypriniformes; Catostomidae
Exons: 4
Source: RefSeq, a predicted model, not a curated record
AAUAAUUAUUUCUUCUUUUUUUCUAGGAAUCAUUCACUUGAUGUAAAGGUUUUACUGAGACAGUGCACAGCCCUAAUCUUUGGGAGGGCAGAGAACUGUACUGAACGCUGGAUGAUUACCCUAGAGAGUCGUGUUGUUUGUGAGGGCAUACAACCAAGAUUCCUGACUGCAAUAGCAACCAUGUUUGCAAUGUUCUACAUCUUCAAUCUUAAGUAUCCAGAGGAGGCAUGUGGCACCUUGGAAUUCAUUCAAAGACGAUUCGUUGGGAUAAACCCUGAAAGAGGUACGAAGACCUGCAGAGGCAAGGUGGUUUCAAAGAAGACUGGAAAACUUGUCAGCAAGAAGUCUGCCACUGUCAAUCCCAAAGUUGCUUCUCUCCUGAAGAACCUCAUCGAUUUCGAAUGGAACUUCGUCUAGAUCUGGAUUUCCUCUCAGACCAGAUGUGUUAAAAGCUGAGGUGGGACGUUUUGCCAGUUUUUUUGCCUCUUCCUACGUUUUUUUCACCAAUUGGUUCUCUUGUCCUCUCAGAUCGGGAUUUCCUCUCAGGCCAGAUGUGUCAAAAGCUGAGGUGGGACGUGUUGGCUGUUUUUUGCCUCUUCCUACAGUUUUUUCACCCAUUGGAUCUCUUGUCCUCUCAGAUCCGGACUUCCUCUCAGGCCAGAUCUUUUGGCAGUUUUUUGCCUCUGUCAAGGAUUUUUCAUCCAUUGGUUCCUUAAUAUUUUCCUCUCAGACUCAGAAUUCCUCUCUUGCCUGGAUGCUGAUGUGACAUGUUGAAUGUAAGGUUUCUUUGUUUGCCUACUGUUUCCUCACAUUUUACAAUGUAUUUUCUGUGACU